AGAGUUUGAUCCUGGCUCAGAAUGAACGCUAGCGAUAUGCUUAACACAUGCAAGUUGAACGUUGUUUUCGAAGAAAAAUGAAAACAAAGUGGCGAACGGGUGCGUAACACGUAGGAAUCUGCCAAACAGUUUGGGCCAAAUCCUGAAUGAAUAAAAGCUAAAAAGCGCUGUUUGAUGAGCCCACGUAGUAUUAGGUAGUUGGUUAGGUAAAAGCUGACCAAGCCUACGAUGCUUAGCUGGUCUUUUCGGAUGAUCAGCCACACUGGGACUGAGACACGGCCCAGACUCCUACGGGAGGCAGCAGUGGGGAAUCUUGCGCAAUGGGCGGAAGCCUGACGCAGCAACGCCGCGUGGGGGAUGAAGGCUUUCGGGUUGUAAACCCCUUUCAGCAGGGACGAUUCUGACGGUACCUGCAGAAGAAGGACCGGCCAACUACGUGCCAGCAGCCGCGGUAAUACGUAGGGUCCGAGCGUUGUCCGGAUUUAUUGGGCGUAAAGAGCUCGUAGGUGGCUCCGUAAGUCGGGUGUGAAAACCCCAGGCUCAACCUGGGGACGCCACCUGAUACUGCGGUAGCUUGAGUCUGGUAGGGGAUCUCGGAAUUCCUGGUGUAGCGGUGAAAUGCGCAGAUAUCAGGAGGAACACCAGUGGCGAAGGCGGAGAUCUGGGCCAGUACUGACACUGAGGAGCGAAAGCGUGGGGAGCGAACAGGAUUAGAUACCCCCGUAGUCC
This 729-nucleotide ribosomal RNA is filed under the name uncultured Actinomycetes bacterium. RNAcentral describes it as "bacterial SSU rRNA". It matches the Rfam family "Bacterial small subunit ribosomal RNA", at positions 8 to 796 of the family's 1533-position model. Lineage: Bacteria; Bacillati; Actinomycetota; Actinomycetes. The record is from RNAcentral.